RNAcentral lists this ribosomal RNA (492 nucleotides) under uncultured bacterium. Its description in RNAcentral is "partial 16S ribosomal RNA". It matches the Rfam family "Bacterial small subunit ribosomal RNA", at positions 29 to 507 of the family's 1533-position model. The record is from RNAcentral.
AGUGAACGCUGGCGGUAGGCCUAACACAUGCAAGUCGAACGGCAGCACAGUAAGAGCUUGCUCUUACGGGUGGCGAGUGGCGGACGGGUGAGGAAUACAUCGGAAUCUACUUUUUCGUGGGGGAUAACGUAGGGAAACUUACGCUAAUACCGCAUACGACCUACGGGUGAAAGCAGGGGAUCUUCGGACCUUGCGCGAUUGAUUGAGCCGAUGUCGGAUUAGUUAGUUGGCGGGGUAAAGGCCCACCAAGGCGACGAUCCGUAGCUGGUCUGAGAGGAUGAUCAGCCACACUGGAACUGAGACACGGUCCAGACUCCUACGGGAGGCAGCAGUGGGGAAUAUUGGACAAUGGGCGCAAGCCUGAUCCAGCCAUACCGCGUGGGUGAAGAAGGCCUUCGGGUUGUAAAGCCCUUUUGUUGGGAAAGAAAAGCAGCAGGUUAAUACCCCGCUGUUCUGACGGUACCCAAAGAAUAAGCACCGGCUAACUUCGUG